GGAAGUAAAAGUCGUAACAGGGUUUCCGUAGGUGAACCUGCGGAAGGAUCAUUAAUGUGUUUGGGCCUCACGGCUCUUCAUUCCGACGCUGUGCGCCUUCGGGCUGCACGCUGAGGGAGCAUAUAUCCACCCCUGUGCACACACACGGUGGCGAGCUGGGUAACGGCUCGCCGCUGAUCUUUACACACGUCUAAAAGUCAUUGUAUGUUUAUUUGAGAUAAAAACACAACUUUCAGCAACGGAUCUCUUGGCUCUC
Molecule: unclassified non-coding RNA, 256 nt
Filed under: plant metagenome
Description: partial contains small subunit ribosomal RNA, internal transcribed spacer 1, and 5.8S ribosomal RNA
Rfam family: Eukaryotic small subunit ribosomal RNA (bases 1-54)
Source: RNAcentral